This 253-nucleotide ribosomal RNA is filed under the name uncultured bacterium. RNAcentral's name for it is "partial 16S ribosomal RNA". It matches the Rfam family "Bacterial small subunit ribosomal RNA", at positions 524 to 776 of the family's 1533-position model. The record is from RNAcentral.
UACAUGGGGUGCAAACGUUGCUCGGAAUUAUUGGGCGUAAAGCGCGCGUAGGCGGUUACUCAAGUCGGAUGUGAAAGCCCUCGGCUUAACUGAGGAAGUGCACCCGAAACUGAGUAGCUAGAGUACUAAAGAGGGUCGCGGAAUUCCAGGUGUAGCGGUGAAGUGCGUAGAUAUCUGGAGGAACACCGGUGGCGAAGGCGGCAUCCUGGACCAACACUGACACUGAGGAGCGAAAGCCAGGGGAGCAAACGGG